GGGAGCACUGUAAUAAAAACUUGGAACCAUUUACUUCUUCUCUUCCUUCUCUGCCUCGGCAGCCUUCUUCAACCGAGCACCAACAUGGCGGGCAUUUGCUCGCUCAACACGAAGCUUGUCAUAAGCCUUGAAAGACUUCAUGUCUUCUGUGAUCUUCACAAGCUCCACUGAUGGCUUCUCUAAUCCAAUAGGCAGGUAAGCGCCCUGGACCUGGGUGGCAGUUGCUAGUUCCUCAGGAGUAGAAUCGCCAGCCUUGAACUUGCGGGCACGUCGUGGGAAGACAACCACCUUGGCCUU
Molecule: unclassified non-coding RNA, 297 nt
Filed under: Hevea brasiliensis (rubber tree)
Lineage: Eukaryota; Viridiplantae; Streptophyta; Magnoliopsida; Malpighiales; Euphorbiaceae
Source: RNAcentral